CUAUCUAAACUCGCCUGCGUUUUUACGAACACUGGCGGAAAUUGAGCGUCACACUUUUCUCGAAGUGUGUUGCUUGAAAGGUAGAAGCGGUAGUUCCCUUCUUUUUCUCUCGAGAAAAAACUCAUUGAUUCUUCUUGGGGCUUGCCCCAAGCUGAAGCAAACUGAGUGACGUGGUUAAGUUCGCCUCGUGCGACACCGCUACGUCAACCAUCUCAGUGCGCUGCAGUUGGAUCAACCGAGUGCGGAACACUAUUACCGUUCUUUGGAUUAUUUACUCCAAACAACAAA
RNAcentral lists this unclassified non-coding RNA (288 nucleotides) under uncultured Thaumatomonas. Its description in RNAcentral is "partial internal transcribed spacer 2". The record is from RNAcentral. Lineage: Eukaryota; Cercozoa; Imbricatea; Thaumatomonadida; Thaumatomastigidae.